UACAGAGGUCUCAAGCGUUGUUCGGAUUCAUUGGGCGUAAAGGGUGCGUAGGUGGUGAUGCAAGUCUGGUGUGAAAUCUCGGAGCUCAACUCCGAAAUUGCACCGGAUACUGCGUGACUCGAGGACUGUAGAGGAGAUCGGAAUUCACGGUGUAGCAGUGAAAUGCGUAGAUAUCGUGAGGAAGACCAGUUGCGAAGGCGGAUCUCUGGGCAGUAACUGACGCUGAGGAGCGAAAGCGUGGGGAGCGAACAGG
Molecule: ribosomal RNA, 253 nt
Filed under: uncultured bacterium
Lineage: Bacteria
Description: partial 16S ribosomal RNA
Rfam family: Bacterial small subunit ribosomal RNA
Source: RNAcentral